UGCGGCUUUUAGGAAGAAUGUAGUGGACUAAUGCUGAUCGUUUAAUUGACGUAAUCAGUGAACAUGAGAUGUAGCUGCUCCGCCGGCCUCUGAUGCUAACACGUUUCGACCGCGUCAUGAAUGUGGAGUCAGGAAGUGGCACCAGUAACGGAGGAGAUGUGAGAAGCUCGGCUCAGACGGUACAGCGUGUGAUGUGAGGCGAGGACCCGGGUGGAAAGUGAUCAAACGUUCCUCAGUGUCACAGAUGGACGGAAGUGGAGGAAGGCGUGUGAACGAGCGGAUCGACACAGGAUGAACACUAGGAAAGAGAAUCAGUGAAUCCUGAUCUGUUUAUGAAGGUUGCAGUGUAUCCGACAGGGCAGGAACCUUCCUUCCGGACAGGGUACCAGUCCACCGCAGGGCUUCGGCCGAACCACCCGAGCACCGAACGUUCUGCUAAUAAAUAAAAACUGCAGCAAAG
Molecule: long non-coding RNA, 460 nt
Organism: Trichomycterus rosablanca
Lineage: Eukaryota; Metazoa; Chordata; Actinopteri; Siluriformes; Trichomycteridae
Exons: 2
Source: RefSeq, a predicted model, not a curated record